This 20-nucleotide non-coding RNA is filed under the name Arabidopsis thaliana (thale cress). The record is from RNAcentral. Lineage: Eukaryota; Viridiplantae; Streptophyta; Magnoliopsida; Brassicales; Brassicaceae.
AGUGACAGAAAGGUGGUUCC